Molecule: long non-coding RNA, 341 nt
Organism: Carassius gibelio (silver crucian carp)
Lineage: Eukaryota; Metazoa; Chordata; Actinopteri; Cypriniformes; Cyprinidae
Exons: 3
Source: RefSeq, a predicted model, not a curated record
UGCAGAUGUAGACCGUGUCUGGCUGCGUACAGAUGUCUGAGCCUGACUGCUUCUCCCCAGUCAUUUGCCAAAUGUGGACCAGAGUCAGGCAACGGAACGCUCUCCACGCCGAUGCUACUUCCACAAACAGUGACAAAGAAUUUCAAAAGCACAGAUCUCUGUUCUUGCAAGUAGCCGCUCUUCAUGUAAAACACUGGUUGUUACAAUGAUGACACUUGAGGCAGUUAAGGAGAAAGGGAUGGUCCCAAGAGGGAGUCCCUUUUUGCUGGACCGCGGACAGACUUCAAUACCAAUGCGAUCACUUUCACGGUUGCGGUGAAUAUAUCUGCAGACAUUGCCAU